GGAGGUGUGGCAGAGCGGUUAAUUGCGCCGGUCUUGAAAACCGGUAGGCCCGAAAGGGUCUCGGGGGUUCGAAUCCCUCCGCCUCCG
Molecule: transfer RNA, 87 nt
Filed under: Burkholderiales bacterium
Lineage: Bacteria; Pseudomonadati; Pseudomonadota; Betaproteobacteria; Burkholderiales
Also listed under: 1 other name
Description: tRNA-Ser
Rfam family: tRNA
About the family: Transfer RNA (tRNA) molecules are approximately 80 nucleotides in length. Their secondary structure includes four short double-helical elements and three loops (D, anti-codon, and T loops).
Source: RNAcentral